Molecule: ribosomal RNA, 819 nt
Filed under: uncultured eukaryote
Lineage: Eukaryota
Description: SSU rRNA
Rfam family: Eukaryotic small subunit ribosomal RNA
Source: RNAcentral
CGGUGUUUAACUGGCGUGAUGUGGGACGUCCUACCGGUGGGCUUAGCCUCGCGAGGGGCGGCCCAACUAAUAUCCCGUCGCGGUGCUCUUUACUGAGUGUCGAGUCGGGCCGGUACGUUUACUUUGAACAAAUUAGAGUGCUUAAAGCAGGCUAUCCUCGCCUGAAUACUGCGUGCAUGGAAUAAUGGAAUAGGACCUCGGUUCUAUUUUGUUGGUUUUCGGAACCCCGAGGUAAUGAUUAAUAGGGACAGAUGGGGGCAUUCGUAUUGCGACGUUAGAGGUGAAAUUCUCGGAUCGUCGCAAGACGGACAGAAGCGAAAGCAUUUGCCAAAAAUGUUUUCAUUAAUCAAGAACGAAAGUUAGAGGUUCGAAGGCGAUCAGAUACCGCCCUAGUUCUAACCAUAAACGAUGCCAGCUAGCGAUCCGCCGAAGUUCCUCCGAUGACUCGGCGGGCAGCUUCCGGGAAACCAAAGCUUUUGGGUUCCGGGGGAAGUAUGGUUGCAAAGCUGAAACUUAAAGGAAUUGACGGAAGGGCACCACCAGGAGUGGAGCCUGCGGCUUAAUUUGACUCAACACGGGAAACCUCACCAGGCCCAGACACCGGAAGGAUUGACAGAUUGAUAGCUCUUUCUUGAUUCGGUGGGUGGUGGUGCAUGGCCGUUCUUAGUUGGUGGAGCGAUUUGUCUGGUUAAUUCCGAUAACGAACGAGACUCUAGCCUGCUAAAUAGGCGUACCUUAUGGUAUCGCGAAGGCCCCCGGCUUCGGCCGGUGGGUUUUUACUACCAACGUACAAACAAAUCUUCUUAGAGGGACAGGCGG